GGCAGAAUGGCCGAGCGGUCCAAGGCGUGUGACUCAAGCGAUCGCGUAAUUAUUACGUAAGCAGCUUAUCCGAUUCGGGUUUCUCAUCAUCGUAUAAUGGCAGGGGUUCGAAUCCCCUUUCUGUCA
Molecule: transfer RNA, 126 nt
Filed under: Armillaria solidipes
Lineage: Eukaryota; Fungi; Basidiomycota; Agaricomycetes; Agaricales; Physalacriaceae
Rfam family: tRNA
About the family: Transfer RNA (tRNA) molecules are approximately 80 nucleotides in length. Their secondary structure includes four short double-helical elements and three loops (D, anti-codon, and T loops).
Source: Rfam by way of RNAcentral